This 279-nucleotide ribosomal RNA is filed under the name uncultured bacterium. Its description in RNAcentral is "partial 16S ribosomal RNA". It matches the Rfam family "Bacterial small subunit ribosomal RNA", at positions 506 to 784 of the family's 1533-position model. The record is from RNAcentral.
UGCCAGCCGCCGCGGUAAUACGGGGGGAGCAAGCGUUGUCCGGAAUCAUUGGGCGUAAAGGGUGCGUAGGCGGGCUAUUAAGUCUGAUGUGAAAGCCCCGGGCUCAACCCCGGAAGUGCAUUGGAAACUGGCGAACUUGAGUACGGGAGAGGAAAGUGGAAUUCCGAGUGUAGGGGUGAAAUCCGUAGAUAUUCGGAGGAACACCAGUGGCGAAGGCGGCUUUCUGGACCGAUACUGACGCUGAGACGCGAAAGCGUGGGGAGCAAACAGGAUUCGAUA